This 510-nucleotide ribosomal RNA is filed under the name uncultured bacterium. Its description in RNAcentral is "partial 16S ribosomal RNA". It matches the Rfam family "Bacterial small subunit ribosomal RNA", at positions 28 to 507 of the family's 1533-position model. The record is from RNAcentral.
GACGAACGCUGGCGGCGUGCUUAACACAUGCAAGUCGAACGAAGAGCGAUGGAAGCUUGCUUCUAUCAAUCUUAGUGGCGAACGGGUGAGUAACGCGUAAUCAACCUGCCCUUCAGAGGGGGACAACAGUUGGAAACGACUGCUAAUACCGCAUACGAUCUAAUCUCGGCAUCGAGGAUAGAUGAAAGGUGGCCUCUACAUGUAAGCUAUCACUGAAGGAGGGGAUUGCGUCUGAUUAGCUAGUUGGAGGGGUAACGGCCCACCAAGGCGAUGAUCAGUAGCCGGUCUGAGAGGAUGAACGGCCACAUUGGGACUGAGACACGGCCCAGACUCCUACGGGAGGCAGCAGUGGGGAAUCUUCCGCAAUGGACGAAAGUCUGACGGAGCAACGCCGCGUGAGUGAUGGCGGCCUUCGGGUUGUAAAGCUCUGUUAAUCGGGACGAAAGGCCUUCUUGCGAACAGUUAGAAGGAUUGACGGUACCGGAAUAGAAAGCCACGGCUAACUACGUG